This is a non-coding RNA of Salmo salar (Atlantic salmon), 54 nucleotides long. The record is from Rfam. NCBI's taxonomy places the organism in Eukaryota, Metazoa, Chordata, Actinopteri, Salmoniformes, Salmonidae.
UGCAUUCACUACUGUAAGUCGCUCUGGAUAAAAGCAUCUGCUAAAUGACUAAAA